UUGUAGGUAUUUAAUCGGCUUUUGCAUGAAGGAGAAUGGACAAGAUGCUUCUGAAAGUUGGCCAGCAUUCUGCUAUGGAGAGCUGCCUUACAAGAGAAGAAAUAUCAGGAAUGGUGCCCCUAAGUUAACUGUUCUGCCUACGGAUAAAGUGCAAACAUCUCUACACACACUGUUUUCUCCUGCAAGGAAAACUCUGAGGACCAGAGUAUAAGAUGGCCACCACCACACCAGCUCCUAUUUCGUUCUUCCAACACAGAAGGCAGUUUUGAUUGGACUCCCUGGAGAACUGAACCUGAGGCAGAGACGUGCAUGCAAAAAGUCCAGGGGAUAUUGACUGGAAUAAUGAGGGAAGGAAGCAGGCUUCAGGGGAGUGAAGAGACUGCAUUGCACUUCCAGCAAUGGUCUUGGCAUAUCCCACAGGGAAUCUCAUGUUGGCUGGCCCAUCAGAAUCAAAGUGGGGCAUGAGGCUGGGCCCGCACUCUCACUUCUGACAGGCAUCCGAUGUGUGCGCAUGACUUGGAUAAGUUGCUCCCUGAAGGAGAUUGAUUUGUGAGGGACCAAGAGCCUGCAACUCUGGAAAUGCUGUCCUUAGUGCCUUGUUCUCUAAGGUGUGUUCACCGUGAUGCUUUGCAGCCAAGGCGGCCCUUGUCAGAGCCAGCAGCGUCCCUCCAAAACUGUGAGUUCAAUUAUCCUCUUUCUUUACAAACUACCGAGCCUCAGAACCUCAGUCUGCCUUGGAAAAUCUGCACAUUCAUGAGUCAUACACAAGUCUCCAGUGGAAUGUUGAGAUCCCUGUCUCCUGUCCUGAAAAGACUGCGAUCAGUUUACUUUUCUGGUCCAAUAGGUCUGGAGUAGCAAGUGGAAAUUAGUUCUUUUCAAGGGACUACUACUACAGAACUACUGAUAGGCAUUUAAAUGAAUAAAAAGAAACUUUGGUCCA
This 940-nucleotide long non-coding RNA is filed under the name Oryctolagus cuniculus (rabbit). RNAcentral describes it as "lncRNA (ENSOCUG00000037197.1)". Lineage: Eukaryota; Metazoa; Chordata; Mammalia; Lagomorpha; Leporidae. The record is from RNAcentral.